RNAcentral lists this ribosomal RNA (1530 nucleotides) under Salmonella enterica subsp. salamae. RNAcentral's name for it is "bacterial SSU rRNA". It matches the Rfam family "Bacterial small subunit ribosomal RNA". The record is from RNAcentral. RNAcentral also lists the same sequence under 1 other name. Lineage: Bacteria; Pseudomonadati; Pseudomonadota; Gammaproteobacteria; Enterobacterales; Enterobacteriaceae.
AGAGUUUGAUCAUGGCUCAGAUUGAACGCUGGCGGCAGGCCUAACACAUGCAAGUCGAACGGUAACAGGAAGCAGCUUGCUGCUUCGCUGACGAGUGGCGGACGGGUGAGUAAUGUCUGGGAAACUGCCUGAUGGAGGGGGAUAACUACUGGAAACGGUGGCUAAUACCGCAUAACGUCGCAAGACCAAAGAGGGGGACCUUAGGGCCUCUUGCCAUCAGAUGUGCCCAGAUGGGAUUAGCUUGUUGGUGAGGUAACGGCUCACCAAGGCGACGAUCCCUAGCUGGUCUGAGAGGAUGACCAGCCACACUGGAACUGAGACACGGUCCAGACUCCUACGGGAGGCAGCAGUGGGGAAUAUUGCACAAUGGGCGCAAGCCUGAUGCAGCCAUGCCGCGUGUAUGAAGAAGGCCUUCGGGUUGUAAAGUACUUUCAGCGGGGAGGAAGGUGUUGUGGUUAAUAACCACAGCAAUUGACGUUACCCGCAGAAGAAGCACCGGCUAACUCCGUGCCAGCAGCCGCGGUAAUACGGAGGGUGCAAGCGUUAAUCGGAAUUACUGGGCGUAAAGCGCACGCAGGCGGUCUGUCAAGUCGGAUGUGAAAUCCCCGGGCUCAACCUGGGAACUGCAUUCGAAACUGGCAGGCUUGAGUCUUGUAGAGGGGGGUAGAAUUCCAGGUGUAGCGGUGAAAUGCGUAGAGAUCUGGAGGAAUACCGGUGGCGAAGGCGGCCCCCUGGACAAAGACUGACGCUCAGGUGCGAAAGCGUGGGGAGCAAACAGGAUUAGAUACCCUGGUAGUCCACGCCGUAAACGAUGUCUACUUGGAGGUUGUGCCCUUGAGGCGUGGCUUCCGGAGCUAACGCGUUAAGUAGACCGCCUGGGGAGUACGGCCGCAAGGUUAAAACUCAAAUGAAUUGACGGGGGCCCGCACAAGCGGUGGAGCAUGUGGUUUAAUUCGAUGCAACGCGAAGAACCUUACCUGGUCUUGACAUCCACGGAAGGUCUCAGAGAUGAGACUGUGCCUUCGGGAACCGUGAGACAGGUGCUGCAUGGCUGUCGUCAGCUCGUGUUGUGAAAUGUUGGGUUAAGUCCCGCAACGAGCGCAACCCUUAUCCUUUGUUGCCAGCGGUCCGGCCGGGAACUCAAAGGAGACUGCCAGUGAUAAACUGGAGGAAGGUGGGGAUGACGUCAAGUCAUCAUGGCCCUUACGACCAGGGCUACACACGUGCUACAAUGGCGCAUACAAAGAGAAGCGACCUCGCGAGAGCAAGCGGACCUCAUAAAGUGCGUCGUAGUCCGGAUUGGAGUCUGCAACUCGACUCCAUGAAGUCGGAAUCGCUAGUAAUCGUGGAUCAGAAUGCCACGGUGAAUACGUUCCCGGGCCUUGUACACACCGCCCGUCACACCAUGGGAGUGGGUUGCAAAAGAAGUAGGUAGCUUAACCUUCGGGAGGGCGCUUACCACUUUGUGAUUCAUGACUGGGGUGAAGUCGUAACAAGGUAACCGUAGGGGAACCUGCGGUUGGAUCACCU